This 29-nucleotide non-coding RNA is filed under the name Homo sapiens (human). Lineage: Eukaryota; Metazoa; Chordata; Mammalia; Primates; Hominidae. The record is from RNAcentral.
UGCCUCAUCCUAGCCGCAUCAGGCCAAGC